GGAUGUGAGGGUGAUCUGGCUAUGACAUCCGUCACCCCAUUUAUCUCCAGGGUUGAUUCGGCAUCUGGCUGGCUAGGUGGGUGUCCCUUCCUCCUCACUGCUCCAUGUGCGUCCUCCUGAAGCUGCUCAGUUGAAGAGGAUGACCAUCCUCAAUAGAGGAGGACCGUUCUUCAGUCAAGGGUAUAUGAGUAGCUGCGUUCCCCUGCUAGAACCUCCAAACAAGCUCUCAAAAUGUCUUCCUCCAUAACUGAUGAAGCAUUCAUUUACUUUAGGGCUGAGUGCAGUAGCUUGCCCCUGUAAUCCCAGCUAUCCAGAGGGAGAU
RNAcentral lists this small nuclear RNA (322 nucleotides) under Castor canadensis (American beaver). RNAcentral's name for it is "7SK RNA (ENSCCNG00000009417.1)". It matches the Rfam family "7SK RNA". From Rfam's summary of the family: 7SK was discovered as an abundant small nuclear RNA in the mid-70s but a possible function has only recently been suggested. Two independent studies have found that 7SK RNA binds the CDK9/cyclin T complex (known as elongation factor P-TEFb). Lineage: Eukaryota; Metazoa; Chordata; Mammalia; Rodentia; Castoridae. The record is from RNAcentral.